AUACCAUCAAGUAUAUUUCUCCGAACAAACAUUGUAAUAUUUAAAAAAGGCUGCUUACGUUGAUUCCAUCUUGGUAACCAUUUUGAUUUCAAAAUGGGUUGUUUCGGCAGCAAAGACAAGCUGAGCAAAGAGGAUAUGGAUUUUCUCAAGUCGCACACGAGAUACGACGAGGCAACUAUAAAAGAAUGGUACAAAGGAUUCAAA
Frieseomelitta varia is the source of this 204-nucleotide long non-coding RNA. RefSeq lists it as uncharacterized. The transcript is spliced from 2 exons. NCBI's taxonomy places the organism in Eukaryota, Metazoa, Arthropoda, Insecta, Hymenoptera, Apidae. The record is from RefSeq and is a predicted model, not a curated record.